RNAcentral lists this long non-coding RNA (305 nucleotides) under Homo sapiens (human). Lineage: Eukaryota; Metazoa; Chordata; Mammalia; Primates; Hominidae. The record is from RNAcentral.
GAAGAAGAUGAUUUUUCACCUAGUGGAGUCAUUGAACAGUGGUCUUCAAAUUGGGAUUAUUUCCAAGAAUAGAUUAAAAUGCCAUGAAAAAGAAAAAAUUAUAGAAAAGCAAAAAGAGCUGAAUGCAGUGAAUGAACAUCUGUGAAUGAAGUUGAGAAGGUAUAUGUGGUGAGUAUACAGUGAGCUGAUUCUAAUUAAAAUCCCAUUUUUUCAUUGUGCUUUCUGGUAGCAAAUGCAACAAGUGAUAUUUGUUACAUUAUAUUGUUUUCUUUAUUUUGCAAUUACUUGCAAGCACUUAUCUCCUG